RNAcentral lists this transfer-messenger RNA (355 nucleotides) under bacterium. RNAcentral describes it as "DSAP01 sp011046415 Standard tmRNA". It matches the Rfam family "transfer-messenger RNA". From Rfam's summary of the family: Bacterial tmRNA, also known as 10Sa RNA or SsrA, is named for its dual tRNA and mRNA-like properties. Its role is to liberate the mRNA from a stalled ribosome. To accomplish this part of the tmRNA is used as a reading frame that ends in a translation stop signal. The record is from RNAcentral.
GGGGACGAUCUGGUUUCGACGGAAUCAGAGACGCUGAGGAACGCGUGCCCAGGUACUCGGAUCCUGGUGAAUCCUCCGGGAAAACGAAUAAGUGGCGAAUAUAACUACGCCCUGGCUGCCUAAGAGCAGCCCGUGCCCCAGAUUCCGCGCCUGCCGGGAAUCUGACGGUGCGUCGACUUCAGGCGGGCUGGUCCAAUACCCCUCCCGAGGGUUGAGGACGAGACAGAAUCGGGAUAGGUCCGCGUCAUCCCUGUCUGCCGGGCAGCGCGGCUGAAACUGAAAGACAGACUACGCACGUAGCGGGGCUUCAGGAUCCUGUUUUCGGACGCGGGUUCGAUUCCCGCCGUCUCCACUA